Long non-coding RNA from Uranotaenia lowii, 1580 nucleotides. RefSeq lists it as uncharacterized. The transcript is spliced from 4 exons. Lineage: Eukaryota; Metazoa; Arthropoda; Insecta; Diptera; Culicidae. The record is from RefSeq and is a predicted model, not a curated record.
UUUGCUAGUUGAUCGUGUUGUUUUGGUUGCAUGUGUUAUUUUAAUUCGAUCCGCUGAAAACUGUCUCGACUCCCGACUUUCAAAUUCCGGCUCAAUUGUCUCGACUGUGGGCUGUUCCUGGAGUCCGGUUGUUGUUUCGAAGACAGAAUGCUGACAUUGGAUGGUGUUUUCUGGCUGCUGUUAGCUUUCAGCUAUUGGAAAAGGUGCCCCGGGCGAUGCGACUCAGCCGAAGACUAAAUAAACCGGCUCAAAUGUCUCGACUCGGAUCGGACUGGAGGAUGUGGGCUGUUCCUGGAGCCCGGUGGUUGUGUCGAAGACAGAAUGCUGAUAUUGGAUGGCGCUUUCUGGCUGCUGUUGGCUUUCAGCUAUUGAAAAAGGUGCCCCGGGCGAUGCGAUUCAGCCAAGGACUAAAUAAACGCCAGUUUUUUUGGAGUGUACCAAUAUAACUUGGACAGAAAUUUAUUUCAAAAUCUGCAAGAUGUUAAGGCUGUCGUGAUACAUUAGAUUCUCGUGGAAACUUUUCCUACGCAAAGGUUCCGGCGUUCCCUGGCUGAGACUUUCGGAGCAGUGCCGCGCUCGGAGGCUUUUGGAUUCCAACGCUGCUGCUAACUGUGAUGGCAGUCCAAACGUACCAUAUAGCGGUGCCGGUUCGGCUGACUAUGAACUCGGAACGGCCACUUUCCGCAGCUAUUGUCGGUUUACGGGGUGCUUUCGAAACACGUGGCGUAUACCAGUUCAAAUCUUUCUUCGUGUUGAUGUUUUUGUUUGUGAAGUUUUCGUGUAAGAUACGAUAUAUGUUCCAAUAAGUAUUAUCAAGUAUUAUCAUCAUGUUUAUAUUGACAGUCAAAUUGACUGAUUUUGUUAUACAAAACUAAAACAAAAUCGAAUAAAAGUUUGAUGCGAUUUGAUUUUAGUAUUGAUAUGUAUGGAAAAACACAUUUUUUGUUACUAUUCGAAAAUUACUCCAAUAAGAAAAAAGCGAUCAAUUUUGAAAUUUUCAGCUUAGUAAAUGGUUUGUCGGCCUGGUCUACAUGCGUGGGUAUAUCGAUCAUAGAAAAAAACAUACCGAUCAAAAUCAAUUAAGAACAUGAAUAUAAAAUUAAAGAUUACAAUAUAAAAAACACCAUUUAAAUAUCAUCUGAAUCGAAGAUUACCAUCUGUUAAAAGAGUUUAACUAUUUUAUAACAGAUUUAUAAGACUUUCUCAUAGUUUAACUACAAAUUCGAUUAAAUUUUAGAGGUUUUCAUAAAAAUCAGAACAAUUCAGGACAUUUAGGCACCAAUUUUUAAAACUCAGGACAACUCGAGAGUUUUUAAAAGAUUAAGACGGUCUCUCGAAAAUCAGGACAAAUCCCGAUAAAUUAGGUUACCUGGCACCUCUGAGCACAAGAGAAACAACAACAACAACUGAACAAUUGUAAUGCACGUCAGAGGUACCAGGUGUCCUGAUUUUUCAGGACUUGUCCUGACUUUCGAGAGGUUGUCCUGAUUUUUCUAAAACUUUCGAAUUUUCCUGAUUUUUGACAAUUUGUUUUCAAAAUGUUGAAUUGUCCUGGAUGUCAAAAAAAUCUAAAAUCACAA